Molecule: long non-coding RNA, 1777 nt
Filed under: Oryctolagus cuniculus (rabbit)
Lineage: Eukaryota; Metazoa; Chordata; Mammalia; Lagomorpha; Leporidae
Description: lncRNA (ENSOCUG00000034221.1)
Source: RNAcentral
AUGUGUGGGCCCCUUUCUUCGAGUGGGGGUGCAGGCGGGAGGCGGCCCGCAUACACACGGCCCCGGACAGCUCUGUGUCUAAGGCCUCAGCAGCAGUGCGGGCUGCCUGGGGUACCAGCCUGUCUGCCUCUUUUGGAGCUUACAGGGUCGAGGAGGAGGGGCGGGAGGAAAGGCAUGCGGGAAGGAGGGGACCAGGCCUUGCAGAUGCCCCCUACAUCCUCCCGUCUGCCAGUCCCGGGAGGCCUGAAUGAUCCUCUGGCAGGCCCUGUGCUGCCGCUGGGGCACACAGCCCCAGACAGGCACACGUGUGCGUGCAGGGAGCUGGCAGGGGGCCACCCGCGCUCUGCUGCCGUUAGCCACGCACCCCCUCCCGCCCUAACACGGCUCCUGACUGGGCAAGACGCUCCGAGCUGCCUGACAGAUGCUGCUCUGAGCGUGCGCCCGGGCGCCUGUCCCUCUCCAGGGAGCCUUGGGCCCCCCAGGGUCAGGGUGUCCCCUCGGGUGCCGUGUGCACGUGUGGCCCUGCGUGAGCGCCAGUCCAACAGGCACAUGUGCGUGUGCACGCACUCCCCCCCCCCCGUCCACCCCUCCCCGCUGUCAGCGGCGCUGAUGACAUUGGCGCAGAGGAAAGUGAUGACAAAUGCCCGUUAUCAGCGAACGAGGCCGAUGACAAAUGCGCGGGCGCCCGAGCAGCCCCAUUACGCUGUAAUAACAGAAGAUGGAUGGCCUGGCAGGCCCCCCAUCCCAUCCCCCCCCCCCACCGCCCCGCGCCGGUAACGGGAGCGAGGCGGCUCUACCCGCCCGCGGGAGCCAAGACUCCACAGCCGGGCCACCAGGGCCGCCAGUCACGGCGGGACCCGGGACGCCCAGGCCGAGGAGACAGGAGACCACGCUGCCAGCUGCCGGUGGCGGAGGAACAAAGCCGAGCGCUCCACGCGCACGCAGGGGGCGCGCUGGGCGCCGCCUGCCCGCGGCCAGGACACGCAGCUGUGUGCACACAUGGCCUGCCCAAGCGCCAGCCGCCUGUGUCCUGGUGCCCUGCACCUGCAGCUCUUGUCCAGGUACCACCCUGACCUCACAGGUCCACACACGCGUCAUGGGCAGGCAUCUGCCGCUGGACCUGGGUACAUAAAUCCACGACCCCUCCAGUUCAUCUGCCAGCCCGCAGAAACCCCGUAUGUCCACACACAAGGAUGCGCCAAUAGGACUGCACACACUUGGGCAUGGAAAUACCACAGCCUUAAGCAGAGAUGCUGGGGCGUGCACACAAGCCCUAAACACAAAUCAGGCCGUCCACACACACCCCACACACGUACAAAAGAUGCCCACAGCUGCAUCAGCACCGUUACCUGAGCCCCUAGUGUGUGCGCCAGGACGAGGAACACCAACAUCCCUGUGUUCUGGAGUUUCAGUUUACCGGAGGAAGCCAGAAGGUGAUUUGUGCUUUGAGUAUGUAGUUUGUAAUGUGACAUUUCCAACUGGAAAAUCAGGGGAGUCUUCCGGGAGGAGGUGGCUCAUGGAAGAGGGAAUUUUCUAGAGGAAUUGGAUUCCAAAUGUAAGAUGGGGAAAGGGGAAAGUGUAGAAAGCACUGGGCCAUGUGCCUGGGUGAAUGGUCUCGAGUGUGGCAGGAAUGAAGCAUGCCAGACAGCCCGGAGCCAGCGAGGAGGUGGGCCUGGGUCCACGCGGGAGACUGGGAGGCCUGUUCUCCCAGCAGACGGGCGAGGAGGUGGUCAGUGAGAACAGAACCACGGGGGAGGGGCAGGCAGGGCUGGCUCCC